UCUCUUCACACUCCAAGCACUCGGGGCCACGGGAGGAGCUGGCGGAACAACGGGGUCAUGACGGUGCUUGGUUCGGCGUUCUGGUGGUGAGGGUGACGAGCUCUGCUCUUCACUCUCCUCCUCCUCCUCUUCUGUUUCCUCCUCCAUCUCCCUACUGUCAGAGACGUACACGACACUACCCGCGCUACCCUCCAUGCUGCCUUCUUCUUCCUCGACCGGAUCCCCACCUGAGACUGCAGAAUGACAGUUCGUCCACUCCUGCACAAAACAUAGUCGGCAACGUCAGUCGGCGAGACAAGAAAAGCAAUAAAACUGAGAAGGUUAAAAGCACUCGACAACAUGUACUCACCUCAUUCGGAGGAGGAUUUUGGGCGCGGAAGGCCUUCACCCGCCGAGCUCCCACGGGGUUAUCACAUGUGCCCGUGAUGCUGCGGACCCACGCACCCACGGUC
RNAcentral lists this long non-coding RNA (452 nucleotides) under Hordeum vulgare. RNAcentral describes it as "long non-coding RNA (HVUL_LNC014103)". The record is from RNAcentral. Lineage: Eukaryota; Viridiplantae; Streptophyta; Magnoliopsida; Poales; Poaceae.